RNAcentral lists this ribosomal RNA (253 nucleotides) under uncultured bacterium. RNAcentral's name for it is "partial 16S ribosomal RNA". It matches the Rfam family "Bacterial small subunit ribosomal RNA", at positions 524 to 776 of the family's 1533-position model. The record is from RNAcentral.
GACGGAAGGUGCAAGCGUUGCUCGGAAUCACUGGGCGUAAAGGGUGCGUAGGCGGCCGUGCAAGUCUGGCGUGAAAGCCCCGGGCUCAGCCCGGGAAGUGCGCUCGAAACUGCGCGGCUCGAGUGCCGGAGGGGAGAGUGGAAUUCCUGGUGUAGCGGUGAAAUGCGUAGAUAUCAGGAGGAACACCGGUGGCGAAGGCGGUUCUCUGGGCCUUACCUGACGCUGAGGAGCGAAAGCGUGGGGAGCGAACAGG